This 495-nucleotide ribosomal RNA is filed under the name Achromobacter deleyi. RNAcentral describes it as "bacterial SSU rRNA". It matches the Rfam family "Bacterial small subunit ribosomal RNA", at positions 891 to 1390 of the family's 1533-position model. Lineage: Bacteria; Pseudomonadati; Pseudomonadota; Betaproteobacteria; Burkholderiales; Alcaligenaceae. The record is from RNAcentral.
AGAUUAAAACUCAAAGGAAUUGACGGGGACCCGCACAAGCGGUGGAUGAUGUGGAUUAAUUCGAUGCAACGCGAAAAACCUUACCUACCCUUGACAUGUCUGGAAUUCCGAAGAGAUUUGGAAGUGCUCGCAAGAGAACCGGAACACAGGUGCUGCAUGGCUGUCGUCAGCUCGUGUCGUGAGAUGUUGGGUUAAGUCCCGCAACGAGCGCAACCCUUGUCAUUAGUUGCUACGAAAGGGCACUCUAAUGAGACUGCCGGUGACAAACCGGAGGAAGGUGGGGAUGACGUCAAGUCCUCAUGGCCCUUAUGGGUAGGGCUUCACACGUCAUACAAUGGUCGGGACAGAGGGUCGCCAACCCGCGAGGGGGAGCCAAUCCCAGAAACCCGAUCGUAGUCCGGAUCGCAGUCUGCAACUCGACUGCGUGAAGUCGGAAUCGCUAGUAAUCGCGGAUCAGCAUGUCGCGGUGAAUACGUUCCCGGGUCUUGUACACAC